This is a non-coding RNA of Pangasianodon gigas (Mekong giant catfish), 88 nucleotides long. Lineage: Eukaryota; Metazoa; Chordata; Actinopteri; Siluriformes; Pangasiidae. The record is from the annotation of a GenBank genome assembly.
GCUGGAAAACUAAUGUAUGGAAAUCUAAAAUGUUUUUGUACUGACUUGAUAAUAUAGAAGUCAUAAAAUAAAAAUCUAUAACAAAGUU